RNAcentral lists this long non-coding RNA (212 nucleotides) under Solanum tuberosum (potato). Its description in RNAcentral is "long non-coding RNA (STUB_LNC006727)". Lineage: Eukaryota; Viridiplantae; Streptophyta; Magnoliopsida; Solanales; Solanaceae. The record is from RNAcentral.
UCCCCCUCUUCAUUUUCACAUAAGAAAUCAGAAAAGCCUAAAUAGUAUUGCCAUCGGUCUGUAAUUUUCUUUCAUAUACUGAUAAUUUGCUCCGUAGCGCCGUGUUGAUUUCUUUGGCAAGGAAUUAUCUGCCUGAACCAAAUAGCAGUGGCAAAGAUACAAUAACAUAGCAACGAAAAAUAACACUCCUGACAAAAAGAAACGAAAAUUAU